Molecule: ribosomal RNA, 253 nt
Filed under: uncultured bacterium
Lineage: Bacteria
Description: partial 16S ribosomal RNA
Rfam family: Bacterial small subunit ribosomal RNA
Source: RNAcentral
UACGAAGGGGGCUAGCGUUGUUCGGAAUCACUGGGCGUAAAGCGCACGUAGGCGGAUCUUUAAGUCAGGGGUGAAAUCCCAAGGCUCAACCUUGGAACUGCCUUUGAUACUGGGGAUCUCGAGUUCGGGAGAGGUGAGUGGAACUGCGAGUGUAGAGGUGAAAUUCGUAGAUAUUCGCAAGAACACCAGUGGCGAAGGCGGCUCACUGGCCCGAUACUGACGCUGAGGAGCGAAAGCGUGGGGAGCGAACAGG